This 466-nucleotide ribosomal RNA is filed under the name uncultured bacterium. Its description in RNAcentral is "partial 16S ribosomal RNA". It matches the Rfam family "Bacterial small subunit ribosomal RNA", at positions 28 to 507 of the family's 1533-position model. The record is from RNAcentral.
GAUGAACGCUGGCGGCGUGCUUAACACAUGCAAGUCGAACGAUGAAGCCCAGCUUGCUGGGUGGAUUAGUGGCGAACGGGUGAGUAACACGUGAGUAACCUGCCCUUGACUCUGGGAUAAGCGCUGGAAACGGCGUCUAAUACCGGAUACGAGCUUCCACCGCAUGGUGAGUUGCUGGAAAGAAUUUCGGUCAAGGAUGGACUCGCGGCCUAUCAGGUAGUUGGUGAGGUAACGGCUCACCAAGCCGACGACGGGUAGCCGGCCUGGGAGGGUGACCGGCCACACUGGGACUGAGACACGGCCCAGACUCCUACGGGAGGCAGCAGUGGGGAAUAUUGCACAAUGGGCGCAAGCCUGAUGCAGCAACGCCGCGUGAGGGACGAAGGCCUUCGGGUCGUAAACCUCUUUUAGCAGGGAAGAAGCGAAAGUGACGGUACCUGCAGAAAAAGCACCGGCUAACUACGUG